GAUGAAGAACGUAGCGAAAUGCGAUACGUAAUGUGAAUUGCAGAAUUCAGUGAAUCAUCGAAUCUUUGAACGCACAUUGCGCCUGCCAGCACUCUGGCAGGCAUGCCUGUUCGAGCGUCAUUUCAACCAUCAAGCCCUAGGCUUGCGUUGGAGCCCUGCGGCUGCCGCAGGCCCCUAAAAGCAGUGGCGGGCUCGCUAUCACACCGAGUGCAGUAGAUUACUCUUCGCUCAGGGCGUGUGGCGGGUUCCAGCCGUGAAACCCCCUACUUCACAAGGUUGACCUCGGAUCAGGUAGGAAUACCCGCUGAACUUAAGCAUAUCAAUAAGCGGAGGA
RNAcentral lists this unclassified non-coding RNA (334 nucleotides) under soil metagenome. RNAcentral's name for it is "partial contains 5.8S ribosomal RNA, internal transcribed spacer 2, and large subunit ribosomal RNA". The stretch from base 1 to 120 matches the Rfam family "5.8S ribosomal RNA", at positions 35 to 154 of the family's 154-position model. The record is from RNAcentral.